RNAcentral lists this ribosomal RNA (1120 nucleotides) under uncultured Prevotella sp. RNAcentral's name for it is "bacterial SSU rRNA". The stretch from base 1 to 848 matches the Rfam family "Bacterial small subunit ribosomal RNA". Lineage: Bacteria; Pseudomonadati; Bacteroidota; Bacteroidia; Bacteroidales; Prevotellaceae. The record is from RNAcentral.
GAUGAACGCUGGCGGCGUGCCUAACACAUGCAAGUCGAACGAGAUGCGUAUCGGAAAGCUUCGGCCGGAAGAUACGUUAUCUAGUGGCGGACGGGUGAGUAACACGUGGGUAACCUGCCUUAUGGAGGGGGAUAACAGAGAGAAAUCACUGCUAAUACCGCAUAAGCACACAGUACCGCAUGGUACAGGGUGAAAAGAUUUAUCGCCAUAAGAUGGACCCGCGUCUGAUUAGCCAGUUGGCAGGGUAAAAGCCUACCAAAGCAACGAUCAGUAGCCGAUCUGAGAGGAUGACCGGCCACAUUGGGACUGAGACACGGCCCAAACUCCUACGGGAGGCAGCAGUGGGGAAUAUUGCACAAUGGGGGAAACCCUGAUGCAGCGACGCCGCGUGAGUGAAGAAGUAUUUCGGUAUGUAAAGCUCUAUCAGCAGGGAAGAUAAUGACAGUACCUGACUAAGAAGCCCCGGCUAACUACGUGCCAGCAGCCGCGGUAAUACGUAGGGGGCAAGCGUUAUCCGGAUUUACUGGGUGUAAAGGGAGCGUAGACGGAAUGGCAAGUCUGAAGUGAAAUACCCGGGCUCAACCUGGGAACUGCUUUGGAAACUGUUGUUCUAGAGUGUUGGAGAGGUAAGUGGAAUUCCUGGUGUAGCGGUGAAAUGCGUAGAUAUCAGGAAGAACACCGGAGGCGAAGGCGGCUUACUGGACAAUAACUGACGUUGAGGCUCGAAAGCGUGGGGAUCAAACAGGAUUAUAUACCCUGGUAGUCCAAAGGGCGAAUUCCACAGUGGAUAUCAAGCUUAUCGAUACCGUCGACCUCGAGGGGGGCCCGGUACCCAGCUUUGUUCCCUUUAUGAGGGGUUAAUUACAGGGGUGUGGUGAAGUUUUUCGCUGUCUGGGUGGUGACUUGAAUAUGCACUUGUGUGGUAUGCUGUGUUGUGUGCCAAUGUGCUCGUCGCUGACUGUGAGUGAACUGUUGUUGUGUGUGUGUACGUGUGUUAGUGAUAUGUGUGUCUCGAGAUGUGUAGUAUAGUGUGAUGUAUGUGUGUCUGUGUUGUCUUGGUGUCUUUGUUUGCGUGAGUGAUGUGUGUGGGUGUGAUGGGUUGAUGAUGCUGUUUUGUGUA